Mesocricetus auratus (golden hamster) is the source of this 377-nucleotide long non-coding RNA. RefSeq lists it as uncharacterized. The transcript is spliced from 3 exons. Lineage: Eukaryota; Metazoa; Chordata; Mammalia; Rodentia; Cricetidae. The record is from RefSeq and is a predicted model, not a curated record.
AGGACCUGAGGAAAGUACUGUGUGAAAGACCAGAUUCCUCUGAAAGUGGGUGAAUCAAGAUGUGAUAAUGGUCUGAUUUUUCUUUUCUGUUAAGAAUCAAUUCUUGAUGCUGAGUUUGAUUGAAGAAAUAACUAUGGAAUUUAUGGUGCUAAAGCAAAGAAAAACCACUGACUCUUCAAGAGAAUUGACUAAAGUUUUUAAGCAGAAGCCAGAACAGUAUUCACACAUCAUGAAAGGAUACAGUACAUUUGUGGAGUUCCAUAUCAGUUAGGAUCUGGAGCAUCACACUGAAGAUCCCAUGACCUGUGAUUGAGUAGAAGAUCAACACCCAAGAUAGAAAAUGGACUUUUGAUAGCCUGAAUGGCCUCUGGUCAUAU